This 70-nucleotide microRNA precursor is filed under the name Cebus imitator (Panamanian white-faced capuchin). RNAcentral's name for it is "miRNA (ENSCCAG00000031955.1)". The record is from RNAcentral. Lineage: Eukaryota; Metazoa; Chordata; Mammalia; Primates; Cebidae.
GGAGGAUUGCUUGAACCUGGGAGAUGGAGGUUGCAGUGAGCUGAGAUCUGCACUGCACUCCAGCCUGGGC